AUACGUAGGGGGCGAGCGUUGUCCGGAAUGAUUGGGCGUAAAGGGCGCGUAGGCGGCCAUGUAAGUCUGAAGUGAAAGUCCUGUUUUUAAGAUGGGAAUUGCUUUGGAUACUGUGUGGCUUGAGUGCAGGAGAGGUAAGUGGAAUUCCCAGUGUAGCGGUGAAAUGCGUAGAGAUUGGGAGGAACACCAGUGGCGAAGGCGACUUACUGGACUGUAACUGACGCUGAGGCGCGAAAGUGUGGGGAGCAAACAGGAUUAGAUACCCUGGUAGUCCACACUGUAAACGAUGAAUGCUAGGUGUAGGGGGACUGACACCUUCCGUGCCGCAGUUAACACAAUAAGUAUUCCACCUGGGGAGUACGAUCGCAAGAUUGAAACUCAAAGGAAUUGACGGGG
RNAcentral lists this ribosomal RNA (396 nucleotides) under uncultured bacterium. RNAcentral's name for it is "partial 16S ribosomal RNA". It matches the Rfam family "Bacterial small subunit ribosomal RNA", at positions 523 to 918 of the family's 1533-position model. The record is from RNAcentral.